ACUGGGGGAGCAAGCGUUGUUCGGAUUUACUGGGCGUAAAGGGCGCGUAGGCGGCACAGCAAGUCGGGAGUGAAAGCCCGGGGCUCAACCCCGGAAUGUCUUUCGAAACUGCUGAGCUCGAGUGCGGAAGAGGCAACUGGAAUUCCCAGUGUAGCGGUGAAAUGCGUAGAUAUUGGGAAGAACACCUGAGGCGAAGGCGGGUUGCUGGGCCGACACUGACGCUGAGGCGCGAAAGCCAGGGGAGCGAACGGGA
RNAcentral lists this ribosomal RNA (253 nucleotides) under uncultured prokaryote. RNAcentral describes it as "partial 16S ribosomal RNA". It matches the Rfam family "Bacterial small subunit ribosomal RNA", at positions 525 to 777 of the family's 1533-position model. The record is from RNAcentral.